AACGCACAUUGCGCCCGCCAGUAUUCUGGCGGGCAUGCCUGUUCGAGCGUCAUUUCAACCCUCAAGCCCAGCUUGGUGUUGGGAGCUGUCGUCUGACACUCCCCAAAUACAUUGGCGGUCACGUCGAGCUUCCAUAGCGUAGUAAUUUACACAUCGUUACUGGUAAUCGUCGCGGCCACGCCGUUAAACCCCAACUUCUGAAUGUUGACCUCGGAUCAGGUAGGAAUACCCGCUGAACUUAA
Molecule: unclassified non-coding RNA, 242 nt
Filed under: uncultured Nectriaceae
Lineage: Eukaryota; Fungi; Ascomycota; Sordariomycetes; Hypocreales; Nectriaceae
Description: sequence contains ITS2
Rfam family: 5.8S ribosomal RNA (bases 1-52)
Source: RNAcentral